This 603-nucleotide ribosomal RNA is filed under the name Streptomyces sp. RNAcentral describes it as "bacterial SSU rRNA". It matches the Rfam family "Bacterial small subunit ribosomal RNA", at positions 35 to 654 of the family's 1533-position model. The record is from RNAcentral. Lineage: Bacteria; Bacillati; Actinomycetota; Actinomycetes; Kitasatosporales; Streptomycetaceae.
GAGUGGCGGCGUGCUUACCAUGCAGUCGAACGAUGAACCCGCUUCGGUGGGGGAUUAGUGGCGAACGGGUGAGUAACACGUGGGCAAUCUGCCCUUCACUCUGGGACAAGCCCUGGAAACGGGGUCUAAUACCGGAUACGACCACUUCAGGCAUCUGAUGGUGGUGGAAAGCUCCGGCGGUGAAGGAUGAGCCCGCGGCCUAUCAGCUUGUUGGUGGGGUAAUGGCCCACCAAGGCGACGACGGGUAGCCGGCCUGAGAGGGCGACCGGCCACACUGGGACUGAGACACGGCCCAGACUCCUACGGGAGGCAGCAGUGGGGAAUAUUGCACAAUGGGCGAAAGCCUGAUGCAGCGACGCCGCGUGAGGGAUGACGGCCUUCGGGUUGUAAACCUCUUUCAGCAGGGAAGAAGCGAAAGUGACGGUACCUGCAGAAGAAGCGCCGGCUAACUACGUGCCAGCAGCCGCGGUAAUACGUAGGGCGCAAGCGUUGUCCGGAAUUAUUGGGCGUAAAGAGCUCGUAGGCGGCUUGUCGCGUCGGAUGUGAAAGCCCGGGGCUUAACCCCGGGUCUGCAUUCGAUACGGGCAGGCUAGAGUGUGGUAG